This 253-nucleotide ribosomal RNA is filed under the name uncultured bacterium. RNAcentral describes it as "partial 16S ribosomal RNA". It matches the Rfam family "Bacterial small subunit ribosomal RNA", at positions 524 to 776 of the family's 1533-position model. The record is from RNAcentral.
UACAGAGGGGGCAAGCGUUGUUCGGAAUUACUGGGCGUAAAGGGCGCGUAGGCGGCCUGCUAAGUCGAACGUGAAAUCCCCGGGCUUAACCCGGGAACUGCGUCCGAUACUGGUUGGCUUGAAUUCGGGAGAGGGAUGCGGAAUUCCAGGUGUAGCGGUGAAAUGCGUAGAUAUCUGGAGGAACACCGGUGGCGAAGGCGGCAUCCUGGACCGGCAUUGACGUUGAGGCGCGAAAGCCAGGGGAGCAAACGGG